UACGUAGGUGGCGAGCGUUGUCCGGAUUUACUGGGCGUAAAGGGAGCGUAGGCGGACUUUUAAGUGAGAUGUGAAAUACUCGGGCUCAACUUGAGUGCUGCAUUUCAAACUGGAAGUCUAGAGUGCAGGAGAGGAGAAUGGAAUUCCUAGCGUAGCGGUGAAAUGCGUAGAGAUUAGGAAGAACACCAGUGGCGAAGGCGAUUCUCUGGACUGUAACUGAUGCUGAGGCUCGAAAGCGUGGGGAGCAAACAGG
Molecule: ribosomal RNA, 253 nt
Filed under: uncultured bacterium
Lineage: Bacteria
Description: partial 16S ribosomal RNA
Rfam family: Bacterial small subunit ribosomal RNA
Source: RNAcentral